GGCUUAACACAUGCAAGUCGAGCGGGGGAAGGUAGCUUGCUACCGGACCUAGCGGCGGACGGGUGAGUAAUGCUUAGGAAUCUGCCUAUUAGUGGGGGACAACAUCUCGAAAGGGAUGCUAAUACCGCAUACGUCCUACGGGAGAAAGCAGGGGAUCUUCGGACCUUGCGCUAAUAGAUGAGCCUAAGUCGGAUUAGCUAGUUGGUGGGGUAAAGGCCUACCAAGGCGACGAUCUGUAGCGGGUCUGAGAGGAUGAUCCGCCACACUGGGACUGAGACACGGCCCAGACUCCUACGGGAGGCAGCAGUGGGGAAUAUUGGACAAUGGGCGCAAGCCUGAUCCAGCCAUGCCGCGUGUGUGAAGAAGGCCUUAUGGUUGUAAAGCACUUUAAGCGAGGAGGAGGCUACUUUAGAUAAUACCUAGAGAUAGUGGACGUUACUCGCAGAAUAAGCACCGGCUAACUCUGUGCCAGCAGCCGCGGUAAUACAGAGGGUGCAAGCGUUAAUCGGAUUUACUGGGCGUAAAGCGCGCGUAGGCGGCUAAUUAAGUCAAAUGUGAAAUCCCCGAGCUUAACUUGGGAAUUGCAUUCGAUACUGGUUAGCUAGAGUGUGGGAGAGGAUGGUAGAAUUCCAGGUGUAGCGGUGAAAUGCGUAGAGAUCUGGAGGAAUACCGAUGGCGAAGGCAGCCAUCUGGCCUAACACUGACGCUGAGGUGCGAAAGCAUGGGGAGCAAACAGGAUUAGAUACCCUGGUAGUCCAUGCCGUAAACGAUGUCUACUAGCCGUUGGGGCCUUUGAGGCUUUAGUGGCGCAGCUAACGCGAUAAGUAGACCGCCUGGGGAGUACGGUCGCAAGACUAAAACUCAAA
RNAcentral lists this ribosomal RNA (866 nucleotides) under Acinetobacter sp. 15a. Its description in RNAcentral is "bacterial SSU rRNA". It matches the Rfam family "Bacterial small subunit ribosomal RNA", at positions 45 to 905 of the family's 1533-position model. Lineage: Bacteria; Pseudomonadati; Pseudomonadota; Gammaproteobacteria; Moraxellales; Moraxellaceae. The record is from RNAcentral.